RNAcentral lists this ribosomal RNA (454 nucleotides) under uncultured bacterium. RNAcentral describes it as "bacterial SSU rRNA". It matches the Rfam family "Bacterial small subunit ribosomal RNA", at positions 340 to 786 of the family's 1533-position model. The record is from RNAcentral.
UACGGAAGGCAGCAGUGGGGAAUAUUGCACAAUGGGCGCAAGCCUGAUGCAGCCAUGCCGCGUGUAUGAAAAAGGCCUUCGGGUUGUAAAGUACUUUCAGUCGUGAGGAAGGUGUUAAGGUUAAUAACCUUAGCAAUUGACGUUAGCGACAGAAGGAGCACCGGCUAACUCCGUGCCAGUAGCCGCGGUAAUACGGAGGGUGCGAGCGUUAAUCGGAAUUACUGGGCGUAAAGGGCACGCAGGCGGUUAAUUAAGUUGGAUGUGAAAUCCCCGGGCUUAACCUGGGAAUGGCAUUCAAGACUGGUUAGCUAGAGUCUUGUAGAGGGGGUAGAAUUCCAUGUGUAGCGGUGAAAUGCGUAGAGAUGUGGAGGAAUACCGGUGGCGAAGGCGGCCCCUGGACAAAGACUGACGCUCAUGUGCGAAAGCGUGGGGAGCGAAACAGGGAUUAGAUACC